Molecule: unclassified non-coding RNA, 1111 nt
Filed under: Hevea brasiliensis (rubber tree)
Lineage: Eukaryota; Viridiplantae; Streptophyta; Magnoliopsida; Malpighiales; Euphorbiaceae
Source: RNAcentral
UUUUUUUUUCUUUUUUUUUUUCUUGGGAGGAGGGGGCGGCGUAUUGGUUUAGUUUGGUUGGUUCUGAUUUAGAUGAGAGCUUGUUGUGGCUUUUGGCUUUGCAGCUGAUUGGUCCAGAAAUUUUAGUCUUUGUUGGAGCAAUCAAUUUGGGGGUGGCCCCUCUCUCUUCUUCUUCUUUGAAUAAGCUUUGUCUACUUACCAUCUUUAUAGGCCUUGAAGAAGGUUGUUUAGAUUACUGAGUUCCUUGAAAUUAUUGAGGUUUGAAUGUCUUACUGUGGCAUGCUUUUGAUUUAGUUAGGCGUUAUGUGCCUUUGCUGCUGAUCGGCUGGACCUAAAGCGCUUCAGUUCUUCAGUGUGUUUUUAACCCAUUUUUGUCUGAAUAUGGACUAUGCCACUUUUAGGGUCGUGACCAUUUUUAUGGGUUGAGGAUUUAAAGCUUUACAGCAUUUUUCUGCAGUCCAGUUUCUGCAUGUUACAGUGCAGAGGUAAGGCAUAAGUAAUUCAUGGAGAAGAUAUAAACAUAUUGUUCAACUAGGGAGCUUCAGGUUAGAAUAAUGUUUUGGCGUGAGUGUUGCAUCAACUGUCCAGGGUGGAAUUUUAGACAUCCAGUCAAUGGUAAAAAUUGGAUUAAUGACACAUCUGGCCUGAAUCUAGCACCUAUUUGCAUAAUCCUGGUACUCAUGAAUAGAUUUAAUUUUAAAUGCACUUGCUUUUACUUUGACUUUCUGAACUGUAUAGGUCAAUUUUGUUCUAUUGACUCUACAUAAUUCUGGCAUGGUGUUGAUCCUAACUGCUUCAAAAUUUUCAGAGUGGUGCUAAUGAAAAUUAUUUCCUAUACUCUUUUUGGAUAUAUAUAUAUAUAUAUAUAUUACUUGAAGUGAUGGCCUGCACUGAAUUAAAUCCACUUGUUGCUGAUCUAUUUCGUGCUGCAGUCUUUCCUACCUAAUUAAACAGAAAGUGCCAAUUUUGAUUGGCCUGAGUUCGAAUGGAAAUAUAUCCAUGUGGAAUAUUUGUUUAAUGUGCUAUUGUUGUUUUAAAUUUUGGAUACCUGUACUAUAUAUUAAUAUUGAUUGCUGUUUAUGUGCAUAGAUAUGUGGAGAUAUCCAUGGGC